RNAcentral lists this long non-coding RNA (314 nucleotides) under Panax ginseng (ginseng). Its description in RNAcentral is "long non-coding RNA (PGIN_LNC014840)". Lineage: Eukaryota; Viridiplantae; Streptophyta; Magnoliopsida; Apiales; Araliaceae. The record is from RNAcentral.
CGUCACAUUAAACCCUCUCAAAUUCUCAAUCUAUCCGCACAUGUAUAGCUCAUGAAUUUUUAUAGUUAUCAAAACUCACCAAUUCUCUUUUGUGAGCUUUCAACUAAUUAUCUCAGUUCAUCAACUUGAGCCAACAGUACUAACAUGUCUCUAAUAACAAUUGUGCACAUAAAUUGUAUUGAACUUUUUAUCAAACAGAGAGAGACAAAGAGAUAACCAACAAUAAUAAAAAUUACAAACUUCCAAACAUAUGUAGUACCUCCUUAAGGAUCAUAAAUUGUGCACAUAAAAAAAAAAGAAAAAGUAGCUUCAAG